This 607-nucleotide ribosomal RNA is filed under the name uncultured Gammaproteobacteria bacterium. RNAcentral's name for it is "bacterial SSU rRNA". It matches the Rfam family "Bacterial small subunit ribosomal RNA", at positions 317 to 916 of the family's 1533-position model. Lineage: Bacteria; Pseudomonadati; Pseudomonadota; Gammaproteobacteria. The record is from RNAcentral.
GACGAAUCUCAGUCGACGAUUCCUACGGGAGGCAGCAGUGGGGAAUAUUGGACAAUGGGGGCAACCCUGAUCCAGCAAUGCCGCGUGUGUGAAGAAGGCCUGCGGGUUGUAAAGCACUUUCAGUAGAGAAGAAAAGCUUUCGGUUAAUACCCGGGAGUCUUGACGUAACCUACAGAAGAAGCACCGGCUAACUCCGUGCCAGCAGCCGCGGUAAUACGGAGGGUGCGAGCGUUAAUCGGAAUUACUGGGCGUAAAGCGCGCGUAGGCGGCGAGGUCAGUCGAAUGUGAAAGCCCUGGGCUUAACCUGGGAAUUGCACUCGAUACUGCCUGGCUAGAGUAUGGGAGAGGGAAGUGGAAUUUCCGGUGUAGCGGUGAAAUGCGUAGAUAUCGGAAGGAACACCAGUGGCGAAGGCGACUUCCUGGCCCAAUACUGACGCUGAGGUGCGAAAGCGUGGGUAGCGAACAGGAUUAGAUACCCUGGUAGUCCACGCCGUAAACGAUGAGAACUAGAUGUCGGGAGGAUUUACCUUUCGGUGUCGCAGCUAACGCGUUAAGUUCUCCGCCUGGGGAGUACGCCGGCAACGGUAAAACUCAAAGGAAUUGACGG